Molecule: ribosomal RNA, 324 nt
Filed under: uncultured eukaryote
Lineage: Eukaryota
Description: partial 18S ribosomal RNA
Rfam family: Eukaryotic small subunit ribosomal RNA
Source: RNAcentral
CCCUUAGAUGUUCUGGGCCGCACGCGCGCUACACUGAUGCAUUCAACGAGUUUUUCCUUGGCCGAGAGGCCUGGGCAAUCUUUUAAACGUGCAUCGUGAUAGGGAUAGAUUAUUGCAAUUAUUAAUCUUGAACGAGGAAUUCCUAGUAAACGCAGAUCAUCAAUCUGCAUUGAUUACGUCCCUGCCCUUGUACACACCGCCCGUCGCACCUACCGAUUGAAUGGUCCGGUGAAGCCUCGGGAUUGUGGCGAGUUCCCUUUAUUGGGAGUUUGUCGCGAGAACUUGUCUAAACCUUAUCAUUUAGAGGAAGGUGAAGUCGUAACA